Molecule: ribosomal RNA, 253 nt
Filed under: uncultured bacterium
Lineage: Bacteria
Description: partial 16S ribosomal RNA
Rfam family: Bacterial small subunit ribosomal RNA
Source: RNAcentral
UACGGAGGGUGCGAGCGUUGUCCGGAAUCACUGGGCGUAAAGGGCGCGUAGGCGGCGCGGGGAGUCAACGGUGAAAGCUCGGCGCUCAACGCCGAGUCGGCCGUCGAUACUCCCGUGCUUGAGCACUGUAGAGGCAGGUGGAAUUCCGGGUGUAGCGGUGGAAUGCGUAGAGAUCGGAAAGAACACCAACGGCGAAAGCACUCUGCUGGGCCGACACUGACACUGAGAGACGAAAGCUAGGGGAGCGAAUGGG